GGUUGGGGGUGAGGGGAGGGAGAGGGAGAAGGGACUUGAAAUAAGCUUGUUCCCUAACUAGAACUAAUAAAAUAAAAAAAUAAAAAAAUAAAAAAAGCUAAUUGUAGUGAAUCUAUUUCACGUCUGCACCUCACUUAGAUCACUUCCUCUCCAAACAUAUUAUUUAUAUUCAGGCAAUCUGUGAGAAAUACCAUACUAUGUUGCUGGAGUUUCUUUCCAGCCUGGUCCCAUAUCUACUUCAGCCUUAAAUAAAUAAACAAACACACAGACACUAUAUUAAUUAUCUUAUUGGCUAGCUCUGUCUUAAUUAUUAGCCCAUUUCUAUUAAUCUAUGUAUUGUCAUGAGGCUGUGGCUUACCCACAAACCCACACGUUGCUCCAUCGGCAACAUGGUGUCUCCUCCCUGUUCCUCCUCCCUGUCUUCCUCUCCCAGCCUGUCCAGGCAGACAGCCAGCUGUUUCUAUCAUUUCUAACAUUUUUUGGAAGUUGCUUGCUCACACUUCCUGUUUACUCAGCUAAUAUUAUUUUCUUCUUGGGUCUCUCAGGGAGUUGAAGACUAAAUAGUAUAGUUAUAGUUUUCUCUCUUUACCAGAAACAGUAAAGAAACUCACUAUAGACGUAUUAAGUGUAAUAGGUUUAAAACACAUUAAAAGAUAAUUUGAUAUGCAAAUUAAAAUAGAAAGUAAAUUAGUUACAAGACUUUGGACUCAUCAAGAAAGAAUAGAUAAUGUAGUAUUUUCUAAGAAUUUGUCAUAUGCUUAUGGACUAGACAUUGUUAAUGUAAUUAUUGCCAUGUAUAUAUUGUAUAUCGUUACUGUACUGUUUUUCUCACAUUAGUUAUAACCUUGUUUUAAAUUUUUGACAAAAAAAGGGGAUAUGUGGUGAUAUCUUUCUUGUACACAUAAAGAAUGUCUGGGGGUCAGAGAAUGGAGCUUGCCACUAGCUAACCAAAGAGGUCUGGAGGUCUGUAUAGACAGGAAGUGAGGUAGCUGGGCAGAAACAGGAUAUAAGCAGGGAGAAACAGGAAAUCACUCUCUGCAGAGACACUUAGGAGAGACUUCAUACAGCAGCUGAUGGAAGCACAAGCAGACACUCACAGCUAAACACUGAACUGGAAUCCAGUUGCAGAGAGGAAGGAAUGAUGAGCAAAGUGGUAAAGACAAGGCUGGUGAAACCCACAGAAACAGCUGACUUGAACAAGAGGGACCUCAUGGACCCCAGACUGACAGCUGGGAAACCAGCAUGGGACUGAUCCAGACCCCCAGAACUUUUGUGUCAGUGAGGAGGCCUCAGAAAUCUACGGGGCCUCUGGUAGUGUCAGUAUUUAUCCCUAGCAUAGGAAUGGACUUUGGGAGCACAUUUUACAGAGAGGGAUACUCUCUCAGCCUAGACACUCCGGGGAGAGCCUAGGCCCUUCUCUAAAGGAUAUGACAGACUCUGAAGGUGCCCCAAGAAAGGCCUCACCCUCCCUGUGGAGUAGAAAGAGUAUGGAAUAGUGAGUUAGGGGCAGGGGAGGAGUGGAGAGAGAGAGGGAUUCGAAUGUAAAACAAUUUUGUUUCUAAUUUAAAUAAAAAUGAAAAAAACAAAUUCUAAAUAAAUAUUGGCAAAUUAAUGUUAGAUGGGUUUGUUUUAAAUAAGCAAUGUUUCUAGGCUUUGGAAACCUGAUAAUAUAAUUGAAUAUUUUGUAAUUAAAGAAGAAAAACUUCAAAUCACUAUUUUUUUUUGAGACAGGGUUUCUCUGUGGCUUUUGAAGCUGUCCUUGAACUUGCUCUGUAGACCAGACUGGCCUCGAACUCACAGAGAUUCGCCUGCCUCUGCCUCCCAAGUGCUGGGGUUAAAGACGUGCGCCACCAACACUCCGCUCAAAUCACCAUUUCAUAAUAGACACAGAAAAGUAUUUUACAUAAUCCACAGUCACUUAUAAUUAAAAAUAAAACAGGCAGGAUAAAAGGCCCUGUUAUCCUGAUAAUCAUCUCUAUAAAAUCCUAAGAACAAACAUCUAAAUGAAUAAUCAGAAAGUACAGACAUCACAUUCUAUGUUAUAAUAGGAGCUCAUUUGCUACCCCUGUUUUUGUUAAUAGCUGAAUUUGAUAUUCUAUCUGUAGACCCUAGGUAAUGAAAACAAAUGAUAUAU
Molecule: long non-coding RNA, 2134 nt
Filed under: Cricetulus griseus (Chinese hamster)
Lineage: Eukaryota; Metazoa; Chordata; Mammalia; Rodentia; Cricetidae
Description: lncRNA (ENSCGRG00015042416.1)
Source: RNAcentral